UUUUUCAGCUCUUUUGACUUU
RNAcentral lists this non-coding RNA (21 nucleotides) under Caenorhabditis elegans. Lineage: Eukaryota; Metazoa; Nematoda; Chromadorea; Rhabditida; Rhabditidae. The record is from RNAcentral.